GAAAGAAAGGAGGAGAGAGACCGUGCAUCGGAGCGAACCGCGAUCAGAGAGAAAUAACAAAGAAAAGGGGUCCUCAAUUUUUUGAUUCAGGAAAUUCUGUGUGGGGAAAAUAAGGAUCGUAGAAUACAGAGAAAUGUGAAGGCUAGUUUUUGAAGAGAUAAGAAGCAAUGUCAGGAGAAACUACAUGGGUUUCAGAUGGGAAGUGUGAAACGAAAAAGAAGAAGAAAAAUAAAGCUGAGAGUAUUAUUGUUGUGACGAUAAUUUUUCGUCCUGAAUCUCAAUUGUGGGAGCUCCAAUAAGAAUCUCAUCAUAGCAGGGAUCAAGCAUUUACUGCUGUGUCAACGUUUCUAGGUUUGGUGGAUGGUCAACCAGCAGCAUGACUCGGAAUGUAAAUGGAAAUGUUGGUUUUGCAAGUCAGCAUAUGAAUUGACCCCUAGUUUUAGGCUUUUAGCUGUGCGCUGCAAGAGAUGAAUUACAAGCCCGUUGUUCAGUCGACUUGGCUGGUAUUUAUUCAGAAGGAAAAUUUUUGUGUGGUUUGUGAAGUUUUGAUGAGGUCUAAACUGAAUUUGCAAUAGUUGGUUGAUACUGCAUUAUGUGAAAAUUGUGUUUCCUAAUAUGCAACUCCUCUUGUACUAAAACUAUGUAUGGAUUUGCUGCUGAACUUUAAAAUAAUUUGUGGUAUGUACAGAAUUUAAUUUCAGUCUCAAUGAAUCUGGAUUACUUGUCCUA
Long non-coding RNA from Salvia hispanica, 729 nucleotides. RefSeq lists it as uncharacterized. Lineage: Eukaryota; Viridiplantae; Streptophyta; Magnoliopsida; Lamiales; Lamiaceae. The record is from RefSeq and is a predicted model, not a curated record.